ACAACCGGGAACUCAAUGCUGAAGCCUCCCCCUUUUAUCUGCCAGAACCGAAGUCAGCAAAGAAAACUAAAUAAAAGGAGAGAGCCUGUCUGGCAGGGGAAGCAGCAGGCAGCAGGCCAUGCCCUCGCCCAGCCAGAAUUACACAGAAUGAUCUGGAAGACACCCUCUGCUUGUGUUGAGUCCCUUUCCCAGCAAGGAAACAAGUCCUUGCAAGCAUCACAUUUCAACAUGGUGGGACUCUGUGGUGUCAGCCUCUUUAAAGACACACGGUCCAGAUCACAGCGGGGGGCGCGCUGACCCUGGAGAGACCCAGCGCAAAGGGUGAGGAGUGAGAGAAAACCUCUCUUUCUGUGUUUUGCUUUCUGAGCCUGGCUUUGCCUGUUAGCUAGUGAUAGCUCCCUGGAGGAUUUGAACUCCAAACACAGGGGUUAGCCUCUCUGGUCAUUUUCAUUUCAAUGAAGCUGUGUUGCCGAGAGAGCCGGGCACCCUGUGACCUUCCUAAUGGAACUUCUCAGCCAAGUCCUCUGUAAAUACUCUCCCGUAGUAAUGGAAACCACGUAUUUGUCGAAUCUGGGCCUUGGCUCGCACGCUGUUCAUUUGAGUGUGCUUCUCCUGCCCCGGGUUUGAUGGGGUUGUUUUUUAAAUGCCUGUUUUUUCUAUGAGAUCUGACUUCUUGAUGGACAUUUGUAUUAGAAUAUUGAAGCAUGCUGGCUGUGUCACUGUUGUCUCACUGUCUCUGCCGUGGUGUUACUUGGACUGCAUGAGAUAAUGGGACAGCCUUUCUGUUAUUGGUGUUAUUGAAAAAAAAAAAAAAAAAAAAAACCCAACCCAACUUCCACAGUGUGUGAAGCUCUGGCACAAUCUCCCUCUCUUUAUCCUGCUCUCCCUGGCUGCCAAGGAGCAUUGAUUUUGAUUCGCUUCUAUGUAGAGUCUGUGAAGAGGGAGAGAGGCUUUGAAAUAAAUUUUAAAAAGACCUCAUACUGGGUUUCAGCAGACAGCAGUGGGUAUGUGUGUGUGUGUUCGUGCAUGUGAGUGUGUGUGCAUCCAUCCGACUGGGAGGCCUCUGAGAUCAUUGCUAAGGA
Molecule: long non-coding RNA, 1082 nt
Filed under: Rattus norvegicus (Norway rat)
Lineage: Eukaryota; Metazoa; Chordata; Mammalia; Rodentia; Muridae
Description: long non-coding RNA NONRATT008032
Source: RNAcentral